Molecule: ribosomal RNA, 202 nt
Filed under: Chaetoceros curvisetus
Lineage: Eukaryota; Bacillariophyta; Thalassiosirophyceae; Chaetocerotales; Chaetocerotaceae
Description: partial Bacterial large subunit ribosomal RNA
Rfam family: Bacterial large subunit ribosomal RNA
Source: RNAcentral
GAUAGUGAACUAGUACCGUGAGGGAAAGAUGAAAAGUACCCCGAUGAGGGGAGUGAAACAGUACCUGAAACCGGAUGCUUACAAGCUGAGGGAGCUCUUCGGAGUGACCUCGUACCUUUUGUAUAAUGGGUCAACGACUUAGUGUUGUAUGCAAGCUUAAACCGUUAGGUGUAGGCGCAGCGAAAGCGAGUCUGAAUAGGGC